RNAcentral lists this long non-coding RNA (3283 nucleotides) under Homo sapiens (human). RNAcentral describes it as "HSALNT0371000". The record is from RNAcentral. Lineage: Eukaryota; Metazoa; Chordata; Mammalia; Primates; Hominidae.
UUUUGUUUUUUCUUUUUUAUUCUUUUAACACAAAGAACAUUUCUUCUGUAUUUUUAUGUAAUCUGCCAGGAUAGCCACGCGUGCCUGAUAGCAUCUCCUUUUAAACCCAAAAGCUGAAUACAUCACCCUUGGAAGGGGAAAUAUCUUCCUUGUAUCAGUGAGUCACCGCCUCUCUCGCUAAAGCAGAAAUAAAAAUUAUUAAUUUAAUUCCAGCUGGGCACAUUGGCUCAUGCCUGUAAUCCCAGCAUUUUGGGAGGCCAAGGCAGACAGAUCAUCUGAGGUCAGGGGUUCGAGACCACCUUGGCCAACAUGGUGAAAUCCCAUCUCUACUAAAAAUAUAAAAAUUAACUGGGCAUGGUGUUAGGCAUCUGUAGUUCCAGCUACUCAGGAGGCUGAGGCAAGGGGAUCACUUGAACCUUGGAGGUGGAGGUUCAAGCAAUUCUCUGGCCUCAGCCUCCUGAGUAGCUGGGAUAACAGGUGCACACCACCUUGCCUGGCUAAUUUUCGUAUUUUUAAUAUAGUUGGGGUUUUACCAUGUUGGCUAGGCUGGUCUCGAACUCCUGACCUCAAGUGAUCCACCCACCUCACCCUCCCAAAGUGCUGGGAUUACAGGCGUGAGCCACCAGGCCCAGCCUAAUUUUUUGUAUUUUUAGUAGAGACAGGGUUUUGCCAUGUUGGCCAGGCUGGUCUCAGACUCUUAUCCUCAAGUGAUCCAGCUGCCUCAGCCUCCCAAAGUGUGGGGAUUACAGGUGUGAGCCACCGCACCCGGCCUUCUGCUUGAUCAAUUCUGCUAUUAAGACUCUGAUGCAUUCUUCAGUAUGUCAAUUUCAUUUUCAACUCUAGAAUUUCCUCUUGAUUCUUUUUAAUUAUUUCUAUUUCCUUGUUACAUUCAUCUGAUAGGAAAUCUGAAUUCCUUCUCUGUGUCAUCUUGAAUUGCUUUGAGUUUCCUCAAUACAGCUCUUUCAAAUUGUCUGCCUGAAAGGUUGCCUAUUUUUGUUUCUCCGUGAUUGGUCCCUGGUGCCUUAUUCAGUUUGGUGAGGUCAUGUUUUCCUGCGUGGUGUUGAUGCUUAUGGAUAUUCAUCAGUGUCUGAGCAGUGAAGAGUUAGGCAUUUAUUGUAGUCUUCACAGUCUGGGCUUAUUUGUGCCUGUGAUUCUUGGGAAGGCUUUUCAGGUAUUCAAAGGGACUUGAACCCCGAACCCAAUAAAACUGUAGUUCUGCGGACUCGUAAAGGUACCACCUUAGUGGUCUUGGAGAAGAUCCAGAAGAAUUCUCUGCAUUACCAGGCAGAGAUUCUUGUUCUUUUCCCUUGCUUUCUUCCAAACAAAUGGAGUCUCUCUCUCUCUCUCUCCAAGCUAGGCCUCUUGGAACUGGGGGUGGAAGGACACAAGAACCCCUGUGGCCAUCACCACUGGGACUGCACUGGUUCAGACCUGAAGCAGCCCAGCACUGGGUCUCACCUAAGGUCUGCUAGAACUGCUACCUGGCCAUCACCUGAAUUCACUCAAGGGCCUGGGACUCUACAAUCAGCAGGUGGCAAAACCAGCCAGGGUGUUGUCCCUCCCUUCAGGGCAGUGAGUUCCCUGGGAAGGUCCAGAGAUGCUGUCUGGGAGCCAGGGAUUGAUAAACCUUAGAAUUCUAUUCUAAGAUAGAAUAGAAUUCUAUAGAUGUAUCAUUCCACUGCAGGUAAGCUGGCACUCAAACCACAAGACAAAGUCCUUCCCACUCUUCACUCCCCUUUCCUCAGUCAGAGGAACCUCUCCUUGUGGCCACCACUUCCACCAGCCUGCAAGGAGUUCUCCCAGGCCACUGCUGAUGUUCACAAAAACCCCGAGGGCUCUUCAGGCAGCCUGCGAUGAAUGCUAUCAGGCCUGUGACUCAUCCUUCAGGCAGUGGGCUCCCCUUGGCCCAGGGCAGGUCCGCAAAUGCUGACCAACAGCCUAGGCCUGUACUCAGGGACCCCAAGAGCCUGCUUGGUGCUCUACCCCACUGUGGCUGAGCUGGUACCUAAGGGGCAAGACAAAGUCCCCUUUACUCUUCCUCCUGCUUUUCUCAAACAGAAGGCAUCUUUCACUGUAGCCACCACAGCCGGAAAUGUGCUGGAUCACACCUGAAGCCAGCAUGUCUCAGAGCCCAGUGCCCACAGGUGGAUGGGAAGUAGGAUUUAGUGGUGAGUAUUAAGAAGGGGCAGCACAGCAGAAGCCCUCACGAGUGCAGGGCCCACUACUUGUCCAGAGGGCCACAAUGAGGAUGUACUUGACCCCACACCCAUCUCAGAUGAGCCACUUCUCAGCCACCGUGUCUUCAAAUUCAUCUUCACUGAACUUGGUGAAGACCCACUUCUGUGAGAUGUGGAUCUUCUGGCAGCCAGGAAACUUGAACUUGGCCCUGAGCAGGGCCUUAAUCACAUGCUCCUUGUUCUCUGGGUUCAAGGCGGAUGGACAUGAUAAUUGGCCAAUGUGAACCCCAGCCACGGUGCCCCGGGGCUUUCCAAAAGCACCUCACAUACCUUUUUGGAGCCUACACUGGGGUAGUGCAAGGUCAGAGACAUGAACAUCCAUCUGAGGGCCUGUCUCCAAGGUCCCUUAGAGCAGCCAUACAAGAAACAGGCUGCAUACACCACCAAGGAAGCUGCUGUUUGCAGCCAUUGCACACGUCCCCCAUGAGGCGAGGAACUCAGCCAGCUGAGUUGGCUGUAGAUGCCCGCAGCAUAUUACCUGGCUAUGGCUGUUGGUUAUACAGGGCCCAGGGGCUCCUUAGUCAGCAGAUGAUGAAUGCUGCCAGGUCUCUGCUGUGAUGGGACAGCACUGAGUUCAAUGUAAAGUCCCCAAGUUGCUAGCUCUCCCUCUCCCAAAUGCACAGAUCUGUCUGUGCCACAUGGCCACUGCCAGGGGUGGGAGUAGGGGGUGGCCCAAAGAACUCCCUUAGCUGCCCCAGCUAAUGUCUCAGGAGGUUGUGUGCCCCUGACUCCACAGUCCACUGGUUGUGAGCCCAGCUCGGCACUCGGGUUUGCCUGUGAAUUGCAGUCCUGAUGGCCUAAACUGCCCCUCAAGUCUGCUAAGGGCCCCAGAGCACUCCAGCUCGCAGUGGCAAGGCUUGCCAGAACUCAAGCUCCAACUGCUAAGAUGGGCAAUUCCGGCAUUUUGUUGUCUGAAGUUUGUUAUUUCUCUGGAAGAGAUCAUGGGAAUAAUAGCACCUGAGGUCUUCUGUCACAGCAUGGCACGUCAGGGUCUUCUCUACCCAAAUAAUGUUCUUUGUUGGUGUAUAGAACUGCUACUAGCCUGG